UAACACGUAUGGGGCAAGCGUUGUUCGGAAUUACUGGGCGUAAAGGGUGCGUAGGCGGUUCAGUAAGCUUGGUGUUAAAUCCCCCGGCCCAACCGGGGAGCAGCGCUGGGAACUGCUGGGCUGGAGUUCAGGAGGGGAAGCUGGAAUUCCUGGUGUAGGGGUGAAAUCUGUAGAGAUCAGGAAGAACACCGAUGGCGAAGGCAAGCUUCUGGCCAUGGACUGACGCUGAGGCACGAAAGCGUGGGGAGCGAACAGGAUUAGAUACCCUGGUAGUCCACGCCGUAAACGAUGUGCACUAGGUGUUGGGGCGAUGAAAGCCUCGGUGCCGUAGCGAACGUGUUAAGUGCACCGCCUGGGGAGUAUGCUCGCAAGGGUG
Molecule: ribosomal RNA, 376 nt
Filed under: uncultured Spirochaetota bacterium
Lineage: Bacteria; Pseudomonadati; Spirochaetota
Description: bacterial SSU rRNA
Rfam family: Bacterial small subunit ribosomal RNA
Source: RNAcentral